GCCAGGCGAGGUGGCAGGCGCCUGUAGUCCCAGCUACUCGGGAGGCUGAGGCAGGAGAAUGGCGUAAACCCGGGAGGCGGAGCUUGCAGUGAGCUGAGAUCCGGCCACUGCACUCCAGCCUGCGCCACAGAGCGAGACUCCGUCUCAAAAAAAUAAAUAAAUAAAUAAAAAUAAAAAUAAAAAACAAGUGACCCUUCUUGGAGGUGGUUUUUUUGUUGUUGUUGUUGUUGUUGAGAUGGAGUGUCACUCUGUCACCCAGGCUGGAGUGCAGUGGCCGGAUCUCAGCUCACUGCAAGCUCCGCCUUCCGGGUUUACGCCAUUCUCCUGCCUCAG
RNAcentral lists this small RNA (333 nucleotides) under Macaca fascicularis (crab-eating macaque). RNAcentral describes it as "Metazoan signal recognition particle RNA (ENSMFAG00000048738.1)". It matches the Rfam family "Metazoan signal recognition particle RNA". From Rfam's summary of the family: The signal recognition particle (SRP) is a universally conserved ribonucleoprotein. It is involved in the co-translational targeting of proteins to membranes. The eukaryotic SRP consists of a 300-nucleotide 7S RNA and six proteins: SRPs 72, 68, 54, 19, 14, and 9. Lineage: Eukaryota; Metazoa; Chordata; Mammalia; Primates; Cercopithecidae. The record is from RNAcentral.